Parathielavia appendiculata is the source of this 87-nucleotide non-coding RNA. Lineage: Eukaryota; Fungi; Ascomycota; Sordariomycetes; Sordariales; Chaetomiaceae. The record is from the annotation of a RefSeq genome assembly.
GCCUUAGUAGCUCAGUGGUAGAGCGUGUCACUCGUACCUUUCUCAUGCGGAAUGACAAGGUCCACGGUUCAAUCCCGUGCUGAGGCA